AGCCAAUGUGAGGACCCCUGUAUAUGCUGAGCUCUACGGAAAAUUAAGCAAAAUAGAGAGGUACAGCAUUUAGAAAUGCUAGCAGUGGGGUAAAGAAAAGAUCAUGGGAUUUGGGAUUGCACAGAGUCCAGUGGUGCACUGAUUUUGCUGAUUAAACUGAUAAAUAAUGAACUCAAAAUGUUUUAGGCAGCUGUUAGUGUCAGAGAUCAGAUUAAUCUUCAGCAUGAAAGAGAGAAGAUAUUCAAGUUUACAGCACUCCGGAGCAGGAUUUGAAUAAAAUAGACGAAAGGCUUUUGACUUCAAUGAAUUAUAGAAGUGGACAGAGACAUUUUUUAUGUGUGACCCACUGCUGAUGGAAGUUAAAGUGAUAUCCCUGUAGAAGACAUGAAAAACUCUUCUCUAUGGCUCCUGGAUGCUUACAUAACGUUCAAUUAUGCAUAAUAUCAACACUCGUGUUUCAAGACUUUUGGGAAGACUAAUAACAAGGAAAAGAGGGGGAAGAGGGCAGGGAGGGAAGAAAGAAGAGAUUUCCCAUAGAAAUAAAUUGAUUGCAUUGUACUGAGCAUUGG
RNAcentral lists this long non-coding RNA (569 nucleotides) under Gallus gallus (chicken). RNAcentral's name for it is "long non-coding RNA NONGGAT001002". Lineage: Eukaryota; Metazoa; Chordata; Aves; Galliformes; Phasianidae. The record is from RNAcentral.